This 509-nucleotide ribosomal RNA is filed under the name uncultured bacterium. Its description in RNAcentral is "bacterial SSU rRNA". It matches the Rfam family "Bacterial small subunit ribosomal RNA", at positions 8 to 507 of the family's 1533-position model. The record is from RNAcentral.
AGAGUUUGAUCCUGGCUCAGAGUGAACGCUGGCGGCAGGCCUAAUACAUGCAAGUCGAACGGCAGCACGGCAGAGCUUGCUCUGUGGGUGGCGAGUGGCGGACGGGUGAGGAAUACAUGGGAAUCUGCCCAGUCGUGGGGAUAACGUAGGGAAACUUACGCUAAUACCGCAUGCGCCCUUCGGGGGAAAGCCGGGGACCUUCGGGCCUGGCGCGAUUGGAUGAGCCCAUGUCGGAUUAGCUAGUUGGCGGGGUAAUGGCCCACCAAGGCGACGAUCCGUAGCUGGUCUGAGAGGAUGAUCAGCCACACUGGAACUGAGACACGGUCCAGACUCCUACGGGAGGCAGCAGUAGGGAAUAUUGGACAAUGGGCGCAAGCCUGAUCCAGCCAUGCCGCGUGAGUGAAGAAGGCCCUCGGGUUGUAAAGCUCUUUUGUCCGGAAAGAAAAGCGCCGGGUUAAUACCCUGGUGUCCUGACGGUACCGGAAGAAUAAGCACCGGCUAACUUCGUG